GUUGUGAAGGCAUAGCGACUGUC
RNAcentral lists this microRNA (23 nucleotides) under Monodelphis domestica (gray short-tailed opossum). RNAcentral describes it as "mdo-miR-7345b-5p". Lineage: Eukaryota; Metazoa; Chordata; Mammalia; Didelphimorphia; Didelphidae. The record is from miRBase by way of RNAcentral.